GAAAUGAAUAGGUACAUUUAUAUACUUUACGAACAUUAAAUAGUUACAAACAGAGUUUCGCUUGCAUAUCUAAAAUCUGAAAUCUAUCUAAAAAUCCGAUCUCAUGGACAGUAAAGCAAAGUAUUUCAGGGAAACGUAAGACAGUAUUGUGAUAUGUCUGAAAUCUAGUACCAUAAAGUACUCACGAAGUACUUACAAUUAGUAGAACUACUCCCACGUCAAAAGCAAGAAGUCCGGAAAUACUAGCACAAUUGUUGUGAUGAUUAACAUCACAAGCACGCUCCUACC
This is a long non-coding RNA of Bombus terrestris (buff-tailed bumblebee), 288 nucleotides long. RefSeq lists it as uncharacterized. Lineage: Eukaryota; Metazoa; Arthropoda; Insecta; Hymenoptera; Apidae. The record is from RefSeq and is a predicted model, not a curated record. The transcript is spliced from 2 exons.